RNAcentral lists this ribosomal RNA (505 nucleotides) under uncultured bacterium. Its description in RNAcentral is "partial 16S ribosomal RNA". It matches the Rfam family "Bacterial small subunit ribosomal RNA", at positions 30 to 523 of the family's 1533-position model. The record is from RNAcentral.
AUUGAACGCUGGCGGCAUGCCUUACACAUGCAAGUCGAACGGCAGCACGGGUGCUUGCACCUGGUGGCGAGUGGCGAACGGGUGAGUAAUACAUCGGAACGUACCUUAUCGUGGGGGAUAACAAAUUGAAAAAUUUGCUAAUACCGCAUAAUACUCUGAGGAGGAAAGCGGGGGAUUCGUAAGAACCUCGUCCGAUUAGAGCGGCCGAUGGCUGAUUAGCUAGUUGGUGAGGUAAAGGCCCACCAAGGCAACGAUCAGUAGCAGGUCUGAGAGGAUGAUCUGCCACACUGGAACUGAGAAACGGUCCAGACUCCUACGGGAGGCAGCAGUGGGGAAUUUUGGACAAUGGACGAAAGUCUGAUCCAGCAAUGCCGCGUGAGUGAAGAAGGCCUUCGGGUUGUAAAGCUCUUUUGUCAGUGAAGAAAACUUUAAUAGUAACACUAUUAAAGCAUGACGGUAACUGAAGAAUAAGGACCGGCUAACUACGUGCCAGCAGCCGCGGUAA